Molecule: long non-coding RNA, 348 nt
Organism: Nematolebias whitei (Rio pearlfish)
Lineage: Eukaryota; Metazoa; Chordata; Actinopteri; Cyprinodontiformes; Rivulidae
Exons: 3
Source: RefSeq, a predicted model, not a curated record
GCGUCAUGCUGGUGCCUAGUCCCCGCUACCUGGGCUUACAGAACGACGAACCUCCCAGACUGAUGGGUGAAGGCUUUGUAGUGAUGCAGUCAAACGAUGUUGACAUCUACUAUUACCAGGAUGAACCGGGUCUUGUCCCUGCGAAGCAGGAGAGCCCUGAGGAAGUGGAGACGAGCAGCGAGGGCGAUCAGCUGCAAGAUCUUCCGCCGUGUUGGGGUCUCGACAUUGUUUGUGGAAAAGGAACCGAUUUCAACUACGGACCCUGGGCAGAUCGCCAGAGGUGAUCACAGAUUCUGUCUUUAUCCGUGUUUAGCAUUAUCAGUUCUCUUGAUCUUAUCACAGAUGAUU